Ochotona princeps (American pika) is the source of this 105-nucleotide small nuclear RNA. The record is from Ensembl. NCBI's taxonomy places the organism in Eukaryota, Metazoa, Chordata, Mammalia, Lagomorpha, Ochotonidae.
GUGCUCGCUUAGGCGCACAAUAUACUAAAAUUAGAACCACACAGAGAGGAUUGGCAUGGUGCCUGUGAAGCAGUCCAUGUUUUUAUAUAAUUUUAGAAAAUGUAA